CUCCUUGGUAGCGAGGGCUGGCNACCCUGUGGGCGAGGUUACAGUUCGCCGCCUAUCUCGGCCACANNACC
Molecule: transfer RNA, 71 nt
Filed under: Rhoptropus diporus
Lineage: Eukaryota; Metazoa; Chordata; Lepidosauria; Squamata; Gekkonidae
Description: tRNA-Tyr
Source: RNAcentral